RNAcentral lists this long non-coding RNA (7114 nucleotides) under Fragaria vesca (wild strawberry). RNAcentral describes it as "long non-coding RNA (FVES_LNC003525)". The record is from RNAcentral. Lineage: Eukaryota; Viridiplantae; Streptophyta; Magnoliopsida; Rosales; Rosaceae.
GGAAAUUCGGCAUAACCUCCUUUGAAAAUAGACAACCCUUCCUAAAAAAUCUGCAAACACACUUCUAAAAUCAUACUUCAACCUUGUACUCCUAGAGCCUUCAUGCUCUCUAAGUUUAUCACAUCUCACAAAAGAUCAAAUAUUAAUCCAAAAAAAUCCCACAACCAACAAUAAAGAUAUUCAAUAAUUUACUAACUGGAUUAUCAGAGCAUAUCUAAAACUGAAAGAAAAAUGAUGAAUAAAGAAUAAGCGGAAGCAGCCUCUGACUAUGCUUCGACUCCAUGUACGCUCGACCUCAAAUAAACUUUGCCUGCAAACUGGGCAUUUGAAACCGAAUGGCCCAGGGAAAAGUAAUUUAAAACGUUAGAGUGAGUGGACAAAAAUAAAUUAAAUAAUUUAACAAAAACGUAAUUUAACUACUUUCCCACGUUUAAACUUUAAAAACUUAGUUGCACGCAACUUUGAUCAUCCAAAUAACUUUAAAUCCAGAAACACAUAAGAAUAGACAAAUACUGAAAUCUCGUAAGAAAAGACAAACCAGCCCCGCUGGUUAAUUAAUUACAUAAAUGAGAAAAAUAAAUAAAAACAAGGGGAAGAGAUAUCACCAUGUAAGAGGAGCCUCCUAGGCUCUAGUAGCGUCUCACGUUAAGCGCUCGACUCACCUAUGGUGAGUACCGCUAAUAAAGGCUAGUUAGCAAUGAAUAAAAACCGAUCGAAGAUUCGGAGCCUCCCAGGCUAUAAUAGCGUCCAACGGUAAGCGCUCGACUCACCUAUGGUGAGGACCGCUAAAAAAGGCUAGCUAGUAAUGAAUAAGAGCGACCCUAGUAAGGUGACUAAAAAUAUAUGAAAUCACUUAAAUCCAUAAAACUUCCCUAGUAUCAUGCGAAUGGUACGGUUCCCAACCGUAAUUAGAAAUUAUCAUAAUAAUUUAAAAUAAAACUCAAUGACGCAUCUCACACAUCAAAAUAUUCUCAAAUCUAUAAUUAUAAGCGAUAUUUAAUUAUCAAAUAUAACUUGUAAAUAAUAUCUCAACCCGAAAUACUCGCUAAAACAUUCUCAAUGCCAAGAUCGAUAAUCCACAAAUAAAUGAGAAAAUUAUAAAUAGAGAACUACCGAAAAUCCCAUUUUCGGUAAUCUUUUAUAAAUCUCAAAGUCAACAAAUAAAAACGAUAAUAAUUAUAUCCAGAAGGAUAAUUCCCAUGCCAACUCUAAAAUCAAAGAAAUAAUAAGCCAAACUUUCUUACUUUCUUGAGAACGAUAAUUAUAGAAAAGAUAUUUAUAAAGCGAUAGGCGCAUGCAAUUUAUUCAAAAUAAAAGUCCACUCACAAUAUUAAGCCUAAGUUUUUGUAACACCCUAACAAGAUUGAAUUGGACCAAUUCUUUUUGAGGGAUUACUCACCUUGAUGAGAGCUACAAGAUGAGCCAAGAAUCACGAACUUUGGUGGCAGGAGGAGCAAUUUCCGACGAGUGGACCAUCCGGUGUUUCGGCGGGAUUUCUCAUGUUCGGCGGCGUCACCGACCCAAUCAUCGGCCCAGGAAGGAAGAGGAGGCGACGAGGGUCCGAACGGGACCAGUCCGGCGAUCUCUAGUGGCCGGACAACGGCAGGUGAUGGUGGUGAAGCCGACAGGUUAAGGGAGACUCGGGANNNNNNNNNNNNNNNNNNNNUUGGGUUGCUCCACACCCGGUCCAACUUAAAACCCCAACAAGAAAAUACCCAUUAAAUUUUACCCCCUUUUUUUACCAACUUAACUUUACCCUUUUAAUUGAUAACUUUUUCACGCUAACUCCGAUUUUAUCGCAUGAUUUUAUCGCAUAGCAUGUCUACGAACUCGUAUUAGCGUCCUCUACGACUUUCAUGAAGAAAGUUUUCCCAAAUUAUCGACUUAACGAAAAGUCAACUUUUUGGGUCUUUUAAGGUAAAACGGUUACAAGAAACAAUAGUUGAAAAUUUACUGUAAACUUCAUAAAUUCACAUAACAUAGCUCGUCGCUCCGAAAAAUAAUCUGGGCAUACCGGUGAGCUACUUCGGAGUUUUAAAUCCACUAUUUACCGUUUUCAGAAAAACUCGAGCAAUCACUAUUUAAAUCUCCGAGCGCGAAUAAAAAAAAAAUCUGCCGAAAUUCAUAACCCCAAACAGUAACCUUUUAGGUACGGGUAUUACACUCCUCCCCCCCCCCCCCCCUAAAAGAAAUUUCGUCCUCGAAAUUUCACGAUUGGUUAAACGGUCAAUACCCAUAACAUAUUUUUCCAUUUCCCUACAUGGGAACUCGACUUUUACUAGUCUCAUAAAUCCAUUCUGAAGCUAAUCAUUUUAAGUACCAAGUGUUCCUAUUUAACCAAGACACCACUCUACUCUACUCCGAGUAAUUAUUUCGCUUUCUCAAAACAAAUAGGAGAUAAUAAUAUCUAAUCUCGUUGUCCUUACACAAUAAUAUCCCAUCAACAUGGUCUACGGAUUACUUGAUCUAUAUAUAUUCAUUGCAUAAACACGCUAUAAUCUAUUACAUUAAGUCCAAAUAUGCAUAAAUAUACUUACCUACCCAACCAAGAAGUCAAGUCUUCCUAGACUUAUCGACUCAACAAUGAAUGAGUCAACAUCGUCGUCAAUAUUUUACAAUCUUCGACGACCAAAUAAAAAUAGAAGAAAAUGUAUCUCUUUAUCAAUCAAACAGUCGUAACCAAUAAAAGACUCACAAGCACAAGGAGAUCAAUCCUCGUAAAAGAUCAACGUACACAAAACAACUAUAUUUUCAGCCUUCCAAACCUUAAGUAUGAGGUAACACCAUGGACCUCUGUAAUCGGAUUCACAUAAAUCCACGAUUUAUCGUGUGAGUAGAAGGUAUCUCGUCACCCAACUUGAGUUCGUUAUGCACUCACUAUCCACGAACUCAGUUCUAAUUAUCAUUUACGUGACAUGAAGUCUAUGAAUCAUCGUACACGAUAUAAGCUGCUUUUCCAGCUUCCCAUAUCUUAAAAUAAUGAGGGAAAUACGAUGGCACUCUAUAACCAGGUUUAACUUCAAAACUCAUUGUCUAAAAACAUCAUAGUAAGUAUCUUAUAGUCGUAUACUUACAUAUGACCGCGUCCUUAUAUUAACAUAACAAUUCCUUGAACAUGAAGAAACGAUAACUACCCAUUAGUUUAUCAUAACUAUCGCUCAAAAUGAGCAAUACCAUAAUAUAGCACAAUCAUGUUCUCUAAUUCAGAAUAUAUCGUAUAACCAAAGACUCAGACCAUACGACGCUAUGUCAGCAUGGUAGUCUGUUAAUUCCCACUGAAGAUAUUAUACGGACUAGACCAGCACAAUGGUCAUUGUCCAGAAUCUAUUGCGCCAACAUAAAUUUUUACCAAUCAAGGUCAAUUUCAAAUGUCCAAAUUCCAGUAAUCCACACUAACAGUACUUACCGACUCGAUUCCAGAAUCAAUAUAAGUAGUACGUGGAAUUUACAAACAUCAGUUAGUAACCAAACUUCAAUAUAAUCACCAUCCAAAACUGGUAUGAUCGGUCUCAAAUACCACUGGUAUCUGAGAAAGGUCAUGUGGGACCACCUUUAAGGAAAUUCUUUCGAAAAUUCGGCAUAACCUUCCUUAAAAGUGGACUACCCUUGACCUGUAAAAAUAAUAUACAUAGCCCAGCAUAAAUAAAUCUCUGGAGCAUACUACUCCCUAUAUAUCCACACUAUCCAAUGGACUAUAUAAUCAUCCACCUUAUAUCCAUAAAUGCAGAUUUUUUUUUUUUUUAAAUUCUGCAAAUCGGAUAUGCAUUUGCUCAUACUCACUCAACACAGUGGUUCGUCAAUGCAAAUCAUGAAAACCGAUUAAUAAUAAUCAAAAUAUAAAAAGCACAACUUAUAUCAAUAAGGUUGUAAUAUCCCACAUCGGCCAAACGGAGAGGGGUUAUGUGCUGUAUAUGUACAUGCCCACCUCCAAUUUAACACGAGGCCUUUUGGUGGCUCAGCGGCUUCGGAAGGGAUGGGUACUCUGAGGUUAAGCAUGUUGAUGCUAGAGCAAUCCCAGGAUGGGUGACCUACUGGGAAGCUGCUCCUGAGCUGCCGGAAACAAAACCGUGAGGGCCGGUGGGCCCAAAGCGGACAAUAUCGUGUUACGGCGGAAUGGGUCCUGGGGUGUGACAAAUGGUAUCAGAGCCACUCUGCNNNNNNNNNNNNNNNNNNNNUAAAACCUCGCACACGACGAUACUGUAUCCCUGCCCUUGGCAAUCAUCCCGGCACUCGGUCGUAAAUUUCCACACUUGGUGGUAAUCAUCUCGGAACUCCGCCAUCAGAUCUGGCAUUGGCAGCAAUACCCGACACUUGUGUGGUAAAACCCAGCACUUGGUCGUAACAAGUGUGGUAACCCUACGCCCCCCAGGCAAGACGUGGUCACACCCACACUAAACCCCGCACGUGGCGAUAACCCAGUACGGUAUCCUACGCCCCCAGGGCAAGACGAGGUCAGACCCGUACUGUAAACCCAGCCGAAGCUGUAAACCCAGCCGAAGCUGUAAAUCACCCCACACGACAUGCCAAAAGGGUAUAACCGCCAAUACUAAAGUUGGAAUCGCCUACAUCAAACCACUUUACCAACAUUAGUAACAUGCUUAAAUCGUUGAACAUACUAAUUGAGUUCCUAUAGAACAAUUAUAAUAUAAUCACUUGUAUCAAAUUAUUCCAGAAAUUUCUUUAACACAUACCUGCAUCCUCGAGAGAAUUGCACUGCAUCAUACUUAUAGCAAGCAACUCAAAUCAAAGAAUUAGUGAUUUAUAUCAUAGAACCACAGAUAUGAUGACCCAAACAUAACAUCUCCAAAAAAUAACUUUAAAUCUUAAAUCUAUCAAUGCACUGUGUGAUGCUAUAAUUCUAAAUAUAUAUAAUGGUGCAACAUCCAGAUCUUAUCUCUUCACAGCACUUAACAAACUCAUUUCUCAUAAGAAUUGCAGCAAGCAUAAUAUAUGCAUAAAAAUUUCCCAUACCAAACAGUUCAACUAGCACAUACUUCUCACAUAUACCUAAUGAGGAGAAGUAAAAAUAUUAUACUAUUUGAAUAAAAUAUGGGGUUUAAUUGGUUUCACUCCAUGUACAUCUGCACAAAUGCUCAAGAGUGGCUCAAGCCAAGUGUCCUACAUCACCUCAGACGACUGAUUGUCUCUAGUGAACCUAGAAACAAUGUCGACAAACAUGACUUAAGAAGCUCUUUUUUUUUUUCUUUCUUACAAAACAGUGCAAUGGAGCACUCAUCACAGAAAUGAUAAAAGAAAGAAGAGACCCACAAUAACAAGAGAAAUAUCAAACUAGAAACCAACAGUCCCACUUUACCCAAGAUUAUAAUCCAAGCGCAAUAUCUAAAUUCACAUGGAAGGAGUAUUGCCUUUUCAAUUUCAAUCACAUCAUGCAUUCAGCCAUUUAAGCACUCACAUAUUACUCCCACAAUGAGCGCUUAACCUAUACCCAUAAGGCUGCAUCAUUCCAUCUGUAUCCGCACUAGUGAAAAAGUUCAUAUCAUACCAAUUGUGUUCAAGACUUGCAGACAGUAAAACUACAUCUAUCAUUCAAAUAGUUCAUCAAUCAAACUGAUUUGUAACCAAAGUGAUCAGAUUUUGGUUGUCAUAACCACAACAGUUCAAUAGAAGGGAUAAUAAUUAACCACACCGGAGCAACAAUAAGCACAUAAGUUCACCAAAAAUUCCAACGAAUUCUAUUACCCAACAAUCAGAAAAAUAACAAUAUCAGCAAUUUGACAACUUCAUUUAAUAAAAAAAAAACAAUUAACCAAAGCUAGCAGUUAGCUUUGACAACACAGUUCAAAGGACUUUUAACAGAAAUAAGAAAAUAAAUCCACAUACCCUAAUUUCAAACUAACAAUAUCUGACACCCAACUAUCCUAACAAGCAUCUUGAAUGAUACCGGUGAUCAAAUAAGAGGUUAAUAUAUUCCUCUAUGGCUCCUAGCAAUCGUUAUAUGCUUAAACAAAUAAAUGAACACAACCAACUAAAUUUAAUAUUCAGUGAGCAUAAGCAAAAGCUGUACUCAGCUUUGUGCUGACCAAAGCAGGGUGUACAUAUAAUCCCUUUCGAAUCUAACUUCAUAUUUUCUUGACAAAACUUGAUUGCCAAGCCCUGAUAAAUUUCUAUAUUUGUGGCUCAAACCAAGUUCAAUCACAGAACUAUGGAAUCAGUUAUAAACCUAUAUUGCAAAAUAGCUUUUCAUAUAUCAACUCUAGCACACAAAUUAAGAGGUACAUAUAGAUAUAUGUAGUUAUACCUCUCAUGUAAAACAAACUACAAAGACAAGUAUCCAAACUUUUGUUCACAAAUGCAACAGUGCAGAAUACCAAAAGUACUGAAAUUCAUUAUCUUUGUCUUUUGUAAACCAUAGACAAAAGAUAAUAAGUAUAGAUAGAUAAAUGAUUAAUUGGAACCUAACCUGGCAGUCAAAGUACUAACUUCAGUAGACAAAGACAAGGCUAAAAUUCCACGAUCAUAACCAAUUUCAAUCACAAUUCCCAACAGUUCAAACUCAGAUUGAAUCACACCACAUAAUUAAAAUCUAAAUAUCAGCAACAAACUUAAACCAUAUAGUAAUCCCAAAACACUUUUAAGCACAUCAGAAAUCAAAAUGCAGAAUUAUCAAUUCUUUCAACCAUCAAUCAGGGCUUCACCACAGAUUCCUAACUAAUCUGUGAUCACAAAAUAAAUAUGUACUCUGAUUUGAGGUAUUUAAACCUAUGCUCUGACAUCUAAAUCAACAUUCCUACCACAGCUUAAUUCCCUAGGAAUUAUAUCCCCGCUCUGAUACCACUCUAUAACACCCUAACAAGAUCAAAUUGGACUAAUUCUUUUUGAGGGAUUACUCACCUUGAUGAGAGCUACAAGAUGAGCCAAGAAUCACGAACUUUGGUGGCCGGAGGAGCAAUUUCCGGCUAGUGGACCAUCCGGCGUUUCGGCGGGAUUUCUUACGUCUGGCGGCGUCACCGACCCAAUCACCGGCCCAGGAAGGAAGAGGGGGCGACGAGGGUCCGAACGGGACCAGUCCAGCGAUCUCUGGUGGCUGGACGGCGGCAGGUGAUGGUGGUGAAGCUGGCGGGUCAGGGGAGACUCUGGAGGGAGGAGGGNNNNN